RNAcentral lists this ribosomal RNA (253 nucleotides) under uncultured bacterium. Its description in RNAcentral is "partial 16S ribosomal RNA". It matches the Rfam family "Bacterial small subunit ribosomal RNA", at positions 524 to 776 of the family's 1533-position model. The record is from RNAcentral.
UACGUAGGGGGCAAGCGUUAUCCGGAAUUACUGGGUGUAAAGGGUGAGUAGGCGGUAAAGUAAGUCAUAUGUGAAAACUUGGUGCUCAACACGAAGAGUGCAUAAGAAACUAUUUUACUAGAGUGCAGGAGAGGUAAGCGGAAUUCCUAGUGUAGCGGUGAAAUGCGUAGAUAUUAGGAGGAACACCAGUGGCGAAGGCGGCUUACUGGACUGUAACUGACGCUGAGACACGAAAGCGUGGGGAGCAAACAGG